Molecule: ribosomal RNA, 492 nt
Filed under: uncultured Anaerolineaceae bacterium
Lineage: Bacteria; Bacillati; Chloroflexota; Anaerolineae; Anaerolineales; Anaerolineaceae
Description: bacterial SSU rRNA
Rfam family: Bacterial small subunit ribosomal RNA
Source: RNAcentral
GCCCGCUCAGAAACUAAAGGAAUGACGGGACCCCGCACAAGCGGUGGAUCAUGUUGUUUAAUUCGAUGAUACGCGAAGAACCUUACCAGGUCUUGACACUCCCCCGCGAUGCUUUUAGAGAUAAAGCGGAGGUAUUCGGGGAGACAGGUGGUGCAUGGUUGUCGUCAGCUCGUGUCGUGAGAUGUUGGGUUAAGUCCCGCAACGAGCGCAACCCCUACCUUUAGUUGCCAUCAGGUAAUGCUGGGGACUCUAAAGGAACUGCCUACGCAAGUAGUGAGGAAGGCGGGGAUGACGUCAAAUCAGCACGGCCCUUACGUCCAGGGCUACACACGUGCUACAAUGGCCGAUACAGAGGGCAGCUACCUGGUGACAGGAUGCAAAUCUCCAAAGUCGGUCUCAGUUCGGAUCGGAGUCUGCAACCCGACUCCGUGAAGUUGGAUUCGCUAGUAAUCGCGCAUCAGCCAUGGCGCGGUGAAUACGUUCCCGGGCCUU